RNAcentral lists this microRNA precursor (119 nucleotides) under Cinara cedri. The record is from RNAcentral. Lineage: Eukaryota; Metazoa; Arthropoda; Insecta; Hemiptera; Aphididae.
UAGCAGUCAUUGUAUUUUAAGUCGUAACUUGAAUAUAACUGCUAUAACAGUUAGAUUACAGCAGUUAUAAUAGUCAUAGUCAAGUACGACUUAAAAUACAAUGAAUGCUAUAGCAGUGA